GACGUAGGAUGCAAGCGUUAUCCGGAAUUAUUGGGCGUAAAGGGCGUGUAGGCGGCUUCGCAGGUCUGUGGUGAAAGCAUACAGCUCAACUGUAUUGAGCCACGGAAACGGCGGAGCUUGAGGCUGGGAGGGGCUGGUGGAAUUCCCUGUGUAGCGGUGAAAUGCGUAGAUAUCUGGAGGAACACCGGUGGCGAAGGCGGCAUCCUGGACCAAUACUGACGCUGAGGAGCGAAAGCCAGGGGAGCAAACGGG
This 252-nucleotide ribosomal RNA is filed under the name uncultured bacterium. RNAcentral describes it as "partial 16S ribosomal RNA". It matches the Rfam family "Bacterial small subunit ribosomal RNA", at positions 524 to 776 of the family's 1533-position model. The record is from RNAcentral.